CAUGUUAGAGCACUUUUUCAAUGUGCCCCCCAAUGAGAAGACAACGACGCAUUCGUAUGUCAAUCCAUAUCAACUUUCGAUGCCAUUGACUGCACCUACCAUGGUGACCACAGGUAACUGGGAAUCAGGGUUCGAUUCUGUACAGGGAGCCUGACAAAUGGCUACCACAUGCAAGGAAGGCAG
Molecule: ribosomal RNA, 183 nt
Filed under: Pelobates cultripes (western spadefoot toad)
Lineage: Eukaryota; Metazoa; Chordata; Amphibia; Anura; Pelobatidae
Description: SSU_rRNA_eukarya
Rfam family: Eukaryotic small subunit ribosomal RNA
Source: RNAcentral